GACGAACGCUGGCGGCGUGCCUAAUACAUGCAAGUUGAGCGCUGAAGGUUGGUACUUGUCCCCACUGGAUGAGCAGCGAACGGGUGAGUAACGCGUGGGGAAUCUGCCUUUGAGCGGGGGACAACAUUUGGAAACGAAUGCUAAUACCGCAUAAAAACUUUAAACACAAGUUUUAAGUUUGAAAGAUGCAAUUGCAUCACUCAAAGAUGAUCCCGCGUUGUAUUAGCUAGUUGGUGAGGUAAAGGCUCACCAAGGCGAUGAUACAUAGCCGACCUGAGAGGGUGAUCGGCCACAUUGGGACUGAGACACGGCCCAAACUCCUACGGGAGGCAGCAGUAGGGAAUCUUCGGCAAUGGACGAAAGUCUGACCGAGCAACGCCGCGUGAGUGAAGAAGGGUGUCGGAUCGUAAAACUCUGUUGGUAGAGAAGAACGUUGGUGAGAGUGGAAAGCUCAUCAAGUGACGGUAACUACCCAGAAAGGGACGGCUAACUACGUG
Molecule: ribosomal RNA, 497 nt
Filed under: uncultured bacterium
Lineage: Bacteria
Description: partial 16S ribosomal RNA
Rfam family: Bacterial small subunit ribosomal RNA
Source: RNAcentral